RNAcentral lists this ribosomal RNA (460 nucleotides) under uncultured bacterium. RNAcentral describes it as "partial 16S ribosomal RNA". It matches the Rfam family "Bacterial small subunit ribosomal RNA", at positions 338 to 795 of the family's 1533-position model. The record is from RNAcentral.
CCUACGGGGGGCAGCAGUGAGGAAUAUUGGUCAAUGGACGAGAGUCUGAACCAGCCAAGUAGCGUGAAGGAUGACUGCCCUAUGGGUUGUAAACUUCUUUUAUAUGGGAAUAAAAUGUUCCACGUGUGGGAUUUUGUAUGUACCAUAUGAAUAAGGAUCGGCUAACUCCGUGCCAGCAGCCGCGGUAAUACGGAGGAUCCGAGCGUUAUCCGGAUUUAUUGGGUUUAAAGGGAGCGUAGGUGGAUUGUUAAGUCAGUUGUGAAAGUUUGCGGCUCAACCGUAAAAUUGCAGUUGAAACUGGCAGUCUUGAGUACAGUAGAGGUGGGCGGAAUUCGUGGUGUAGCGGUGAAAUGCUUAGAUAUCACGAAGAACUCCGAUUGCGAAGGCAGUUCACUGGACUGCAACUGACACUGAGGCUCGAAAGUGUGGGUAUCAAACAUGAUUAGAUACCCUUGUAGUC